This 882-nucleotide ribosomal RNA is filed under the name uncultured bacterium. RNAcentral's name for it is "bacterial SSU rRNA". It matches the Rfam family "Bacterial small subunit ribosomal RNA", at positions 8 to 887 of the family's 1533-position model. The record is from RNAcentral.
AGAGUUUGAUCCUGGCUCAGAUUGAACGCUGGCGGUAUGCUUAACACAUGCAAGUCGAACGGUAACGGUCCUUCGGGAGCCGACGAGUGGCGGACGGGUGAGUAACGCGUAGGAAUCUGCCUGGUAGUGGGGGACAACUCGGAGAAAUCCGAGCUAAUACCGCAUACGCCCUGAGGGGGAAAGCGGGGGAUCUUCGGACCUCGCGCUAUCAGAUGAGCCUGCGUUGGAUUAGCUAGUUGGUGGGGUAAAGGCCUACCAAGGCGACGAUCCAUAGCUGGUCUGAGAGGACGAUCAGCCACACUGGGACUGAGACACGGCCCAGACUCCUACGGGAGGCAGCAGUGGGGAAUAUUGGACAAUGGGCGCAAGCCUGAUCCAGCAAUACCGCGUGUGUGAAGAAGGCCUGAGGGUUGUAAAGCACUUUCAAUAGGGAGGAAAAAGCGUUGGUUAAUAGCCGAUGCCUUGACAUUACCUAUAGAAGAAGCACCGGCUAACUCCGUGCCAGCAGCCGCGGUAAUACGGAGGGUGCGAGCGUUAAUCGGAAUUACCGGGCGUAAAGCGUGCGUAGGCGGUUAUUUAAGUCAGAUGUGAAAGCCCCGGGCUUAACCUGGGAACGGCAUUUGAUACUGGGUAACUUGAGUUUAGGAGAGGAGAGUGGAAUUUCCGGUGUAGCGGUGAAAUGCGUAGAGAUCGGAAGGAACACCAGUGGCGAAGGCGGCUCUCUGGCCUAAAACUGACGCUGAGGUACGAAAGCGUGGGUAGCAAACAGGAUUAGAUACCCUGGUAGUCCACGCCGUAAACGAUGUCAACCAGCCGUUGGGUCUUUAUUAAGACUUAGUGGUGCAGCUAACGCAUUAAGUUGACCGCCUGGGGAGUACGGCC